GCUCCCGUUACAUCUAGCAAGAGCUUUACUUCUAUAAGCAUGUGCUGUCUCUUUAGGCUUGUGUACCUGCUUCUGUUGGAAACCUACAACACGCAGAAAAAAGAUGAUGGGAAAGUUCAGCACUGGGAAAGAUGAUGGGAAAGAUCAGCCACUGAUAUAUGCACAGCUGCCAGAGCGUUGCCCCAUAGCUUUGGAGGCAGUUUGAGGAACACAAGCUCCAUAGGUGUUAUGUAUGGAAUUAAGGCAGAAGAAUAAUAGGAGCUGGCAGAAGGGUGCGUGGGCUCAUGUUCUGUGCCUAUGCAGUGCUGGAUCUUGGUGACAGUGGAAGGAGGGAGCAGAGCAGUGCUGACCCCAUUGCAGGGACAACACUCUGUAUCUCUGGGGCUUUUGGUGUCGGCUCCCUCUCACCAAGCAUGUGUGCAUGUAUGUGUGUAAGCACUGUGUUGUGGAGACGAAGACAUAAGCAAAGGGCAAACACGGAGACCAACUUCUCCCAUUUCAGGUUUGCCUUCCAAUAAUUUUCACUGAAUCAGAGAAUGGUUUGGGUUGGAAAGGACCUCUAAGGGCCAUCUGGUCCCCCUCCAUGCACUGAGCCGGGACACCCACAGCUCCAUCAGUGCUCAGAGCACCAUCCAGCCUGACCGUGGGUGUGUGCAGGGAUGGGGCACUGCCACCUCUCUGGGCACUCUGUGCCACUCCUCCCUGCCAUCAGUGUAUUAUCGUGCCCUUAUUUUGGGGACAUUUUCCAAGAAAGCACUGCCUGUCACUGCCAACCUGGUAGCUCCUCUUCUGCCCUGCUGGGGCUGUUGGAUUUGAAUCAACUUCACGUGGAAAUUAUUUUUAACAAAUAUUUCUUAUGGAAAUAUUCUAUUUACAACAUGUGCUAAAAGCAUAAAACGUGAGAAGGCAGAUUUGGGCACUGUAUUUUUUUUUUUUUUUUUUUUCCUCAAGGACUCGGAGAAUAUUUUGCACAGUUAUUUUAAACAGCUUUUAUAUUUAGCAAGACUAAGUAUGAUACGAGAACUAAAUAAAUCAGAGCAGCAAACACAACAGAAGAAAGAGAGAAGCCACAAAGCAGGUUUUGAGCCUGUUCAAAACAUGUGGAUUUGGAAUACGUUUGCAUUUGGAAAUGCUGCAUCUCGGUAGCAGUGCAGGUGGGUGAAGGGUUUGAAGCUUUGUGCUGCUCUAACACGGCACUGAAAGCUGACAGGGAUGGAAAAUGGUGUUUUUCUGGAGGAUAAUUGGAAUUGAGGUGGAAUGGAAGCAUCACAGCGUGCUGGUCCUGGUCAGGGUUCAGGUGGGAUUUGAAGCCUUUGUACUCCUUGCGUGAUCCUGGUGGCUUUCUCCAAUCUGGCAACUGAGAGCCUAUGGCUGCAAAAUGCAAAACCCAAGAUGUUUGCAAGAUGCCCUCCAGGGCUGUUAUGGGGAUAGCAGCACCUUACAACUCACUUUUCAACAGAAGGCCAGGGAGAUGAGGUGUGGACAUCAGAGCACAGGGCAGGAUGGAGGCUGAGCACAGCAGAACUGAUGGAAAAGGAAGGGGAAGGGCUGAGAUGGGAGUGCAAUGGGAGAAGGAGCCCUGGAGUAGGUGAAGUGUUUUCUGGUGCUGAGGAAAUGACAAAUUACUGGUGAGUUUGAAAAUCAUAAAAGUAAAAA
This is a long non-coding RNA of Centrocercus urophasianus (Greater sage-grouse), 1656 nucleotides long. RefSeq lists it as uncharacterized. The record is from RefSeq and is a predicted model, not a curated record. Lineage: Eukaryota; Metazoa; Chordata; Aves; Galliformes; Phasianidae. The transcript is spliced from 3 exons.